Molecule: ribosomal RNA, 791 nt
Filed under: uncultured bacterium
Lineage: Bacteria
Description: bacterial SSU rRNA
Rfam family: Bacterial small subunit ribosomal RNA
Source: RNAcentral
AGAGUUUGAUCAUGGCUCAGAUUGAACGCUGGCGGCAUGCCUUACACAUGCAAGUCGAACGGCAGCGCGGGGCAACCUGGCGGCGAGUGGCGAACGGGUGAGUAAUAUAUCGGAACGUACCCUGGAGUGGGGGAUAACGUAGCGAAAGUUACGCUAAUACCGCAUACGAUCUAAGGAUGAAAGUGGGGGAUUCGCAAGAACCUCAUGCUCCUGGAGCGGCCGAUAUCUGAUUAGCUAGUUGGUGGGGUAAAGGCCUACCAAGGCAUCGAUCAGUAGCUGGUCUGAGAGGACGACCAGCCACACUGGAACUGAGACACGGUCCAGACUCCUACGGGAGGCAGCAGUGGGGAAUUUUGGACAAUGGGCGAAAGCCUGAUCCAGCAAUGCCGCGUGAGUGAAGAAGGCCUUCGGGUUGUAAAGCUCUUUUGUCAGGGAAGAAACGGUGUGGGCUAAUAUCCCGCACUAAUGACGGUACCUGAAGAAUAAGCACCGGCUAACUACGUGCCAGCAGCCGCGGUAAUACGUAGGGUGCAAGCGUUAAUCGGAAUUACUGGGCGUAAAGCGUGCGCAGGCGGUUUUGUAAGUCUGUCGUGAAAUCCCCGGGCUCAACCUGGGAAUUGCGAUGGAGACUGCAAGGCUAGAAUCUGGCAGAGGGGGGUAGAAUUCCACGUAGCAGUGAAAUGCGUAGAGAUGUGGAGGAACACCGAUGGCGAAGGCAGCCCCCUGGGUCAAGAUUGACGCUCAUGCACGAAAGCGUGGGGAGCAAACAGGAUUAGAUACCCUAGUAGUCC